UUCUCUUCUCCCAUCUUCUUCUUCUUCUUCUUCUUCUCUCUCUUUCCCGGAAAUUAUGGAGAAGAUAAGGAUGGAAAGAAGAUUAAAAGAAGUCAAAGA
This 99-nucleotide non-coding RNA is filed under the name Paramoeba aestuarina. Lineage: Eukaryota; Discosea; Flabellinia; Dactylopodida; Paramoebidae. The record is from RNAcentral.